GUUUAAGUUGGGAGGAAGGGCAGUAACCUAAUAGUUAGUGUUUGGAUGUUACCGACAGAAUAAGCUCCGGCUAACUUUGUACCAGCAGCCGCGGUAAUACAGAGGGUGCAACGUUGAUCGGAAUUACAGGGGCGUAUAAUGCGCGUAGGUUGGUUCGUUAAGUUGGAUGUAAAAUCCCCGGUGCUCAACCUGGGAACUGCUUUCAAAGCUGUCGAGCUUAGAGGAUGGUAAGGGGGUGAUGAAAUUUCCUGGUGUCGCGAUGAAAAUGCGUAAAAUCUAGGGAAGGAACACCAGUGGCGAAGGCGACCACCCUGGACUGAUCCUGACACUUGAGGGGCGAAGGGCGUGGGGAGCAAACAGGAUUAGAUACCCUGGGAUUCCACGCCCGUACACGAUGUAAACUAGUCGUUGGGAAGCCUUGGAGCUCUUAGCGGCGCUGCUAACGCAUUAAAGUUGACCGCCUUGGGAGGUACUGCCCGAAGGUUAAAACUCGAAUUUAUUUGACGGGGUCCCCGCACCAGCCGCGGGAGCAUGUGAUUUAAUUCGUAACAACGGAAAAAACCUUACCCAUGUAUUGAGAUUCCAAUGAACUUUGCAAGAAGAUGGAUGGGUGCCUUCCCGUAACAUAUGAGACAAGAUC
This 640-nucleotide ribosomal RNA is filed under the name Pseudomonas sp. JY9. RNAcentral describes it as "bacterial SSU rRNA". It matches the Rfam family "Bacterial small subunit ribosomal RNA", at positions 433 to 1050 of the family's 1533-position model. The record is from RNAcentral. Lineage: Bacteria; Pseudomonadati; Pseudomonadota; Gammaproteobacteria; Pseudomonadales; Pseudomonadaceae.